GGACAACCUACCUGGGAGCGGGGGAUAACAUGGGGAAACCCGUGCUAAUACCGCAUACGUCUCCGGAAUCUAGGUUCUGGAGGGAAAGCUGGCCUAUACAUGUAAGCUGGCACCCCCAGAGGGGUCCGCGUUCGAUUAGCUAGAUGGCGAGGUAACGGCUCACCAUGGCGACGAUCGAUAGCCGGCCUGAGAGGGCGAUCGGCCACACUGGGACUGAGACACGGCCCAG
This 229-nucleotide ribosomal RNA is filed under the name uncultured bacterium. RNAcentral's name for it is "partial 16S ribosomal RNA". It matches the Rfam family "Bacterial small subunit ribosomal RNA", at positions 119 to 334 of the family's 1533-position model. The record is from RNAcentral.